UAAAGCCAUUUUCUAUGCAGUCACCACACAUCUCGCGAAUGUCUACUAGCAAGGGUCUAUUAGGGGUCAGCCUGGCCCAAAAGAACCACUCAGACAAUGCCAGCAUCAGGAGCCAGGCACCUACCGAGUCACAUUACAGAAAUUGGCUUUUUGGGUUGGUGGCCAGCGAUGACAGAAGGGUACAGAGUACAACAGGCAGCCUAUACUCCAUACUGAACUGGGGACCUCAGCAACAGACACAAGUUGGCCUGAGCAUCACCUGCAGAAGUAUCUACCGAAAACCAGCUCAAGAUAUUUCUGCUGGAAGGAAAGGCUUGGCCAUCCCAUGUUUCCCAAGAGCCUCUG
Mus musculus (house mouse) is the source of this 345-nucleotide long non-coding RNA. RefSeq annotates it as predicted gene, 35433. NCBI's taxonomy places the organism in Eukaryota, Metazoa, Chordata, Mammalia, Rodentia, Muridae. The transcript is spliced from 3 exons. The record is from RefSeq and is a predicted model, not a curated record.